UCGAUUUGGAGUUUGUUGCCUAGAGUGAUGGGCUCCGAAGCUAACGCGAUAAAUCGACCGCCUGGGGAGUACGGCCGCAAGGUUAAAACUCAAAUGAAUUGACGGGGGCCCGCACAAGCGGUGGAGCAUGUGGUUUAAUUCGAUGCAACGCGAAGAACCUUACCUGGUCUUGACAUCCACAGAAUUUUUCAGAGAUGAGAGAGUGCCUUCGGGAACUGUGAGACAGGUGCUGCAUGGCUGUCGUCAGCUCGUGUUGUGAAAUGUUGGGUUAAGUCCCGCAACGAGCGCAACCCUUAUCCUUUGUUGCCAGCGAUUAGGUCGGGAACUCAAAGGAGACUGCCGUUGAUAAAACGGAGGAAGGUGGGGACGACGUCAAGUCAUCAUGGCCCUUACGACCAGGGCUACACACGUGCUACAAUGGCGUAUACAAAGGGAAGCGAAGGUGCGAGCUGGAGCGGACCUCCUAAAGUACGUCUAAGUCCGGAUUGGAGUCUGCAACUCGACUCCAUGAAGUCGGAAUCGCUAGUAAUCGUGAAUCAGAAUGUCACGGUGAAAUACGUUCCCGGGCCU
This 570-nucleotide ribosomal RNA is filed under the name uncultured Gammaproteobacteria bacterium. Its description in RNAcentral is "bacterial SSU rRNA". It matches the Rfam family "Bacterial small subunit ribosomal RNA", at positions 812 to 1381 of the family's 1533-position model. Lineage: Bacteria; Pseudomonadati; Pseudomonadota; Gammaproteobacteria. The record is from RNAcentral.